AGUGAACGCUGGCGGUAGGCCUAACACAUGCAAGUCGAACGGCAGCACAGUAAGAGCUUGCUCUUACGGGUGGCGAGUGUCGGACGGGUGAGGAAUACAUCGGAAUCUACUUUUUCGUGGGGGAUAACGUAGGGAAACUUACGCUAAUACCGCAUACGACCUACGGGUGAAAGCAGGGGAUCUUCGGACCUUGCGCGAUUGAAUGAGCCGACGUCGGAUUAGCUAGUUGGCGGGGUAAAGGCCCACCAAGGCGACGAUCCGUAGCUGGUCUGAGAGGAUGAUCAGCCACACUGGAACUGAGACACGGUCCAGACUCCUACGGGAGGCAGCAGUAGGGAAUAUUGGACAAUGGGCGCAAGCCUGAUCCAGCCAUACCGCGUGGGUGAAGAAGGCCUUCGGGUUGUAAAGCCCUUUUGUUGGGAAAGAAAAGCAGCAGGUUAAUACCCCGCUGUUCUGACGGUACCCAAAGAACAAGCACCGGCUAACUUCGUG
RNAcentral lists this ribosomal RNA (492 nucleotides) under uncultured bacterium. Its description in RNAcentral is "partial 16S ribosomal RNA". It matches the Rfam family "Bacterial small subunit ribosomal RNA", at positions 29 to 507 of the family's 1533-position model. The record is from RNAcentral.